This 253-nucleotide ribosomal RNA is filed under the name uncultured bacterium. Its description in RNAcentral is "partial 16S ribosomal RNA". It matches the Rfam family "Bacterial small subunit ribosomal RNA", at positions 524 to 776 of the family's 1533-position model. The record is from RNAcentral.
UACGUAGGGACCGAGCGUUGUCCGGAUUCAUUGGGCGUAAAGAGCUCGUAGGCGGCCACUCAAGUCGAAUGUGAAACCUCGAGGCUUAACCUCGAGCCUGCAUUCGAUACUGGGCGGCUAGAGUCUGGUAGGGGGAUCUGGAAUUCCUGGUGUAGCGGUGGAAUGCGCAGAUAUCAGGAGGAACACCGGUGGCGAAGGCGGCCACCUGGACGGAUACUGACGCUGAGGUGCGAAAGCGUGGGGAGCAAACAGG